This 497-nucleotide ribosomal RNA is filed under the name uncultured bacterium. Its description in RNAcentral is "partial 16S ribosomal RNA". It matches the Rfam family "Bacterial small subunit ribosomal RNA", at positions 28 to 507 of the family's 1533-position model. The record is from RNAcentral.
GAUGAACGCUGGCGGCGUGCCUAAUACAUGCAAGUCGAGCGAACGGACGAGAAGCUUGCUUCUCUGAUGUUAGCGGCGGACGGGUGAGUAACACGUGGAUAACCUACCUAUAAGACUGGGAUAACUUCGGGAAACCGGAGCUAAUACCGGAUAAUAUUUUGAACCGCAUGGUUCAAAAGUGAAAGACGGUCUUGCUGUAACUUAUAGAUGGAUCCGCGCUGCAUUAGCUAGUUGGUAAGGUAACGGCUUACCAAGGCAACGAUGCAUAGCCGACCUGAGAGGGUGAUCGGCCACACUGGAACUGAGACACGGUCCAGACUCCUACGGGAGGCAGCAGUAGGGAAUCUUCCGCAAUGGGCGAAAGCCUGACAGAGCAACGCCGCGUGAGUGAUGAAGGUCUUCGGAUCGUAAAACUCUGUUAUUAGGGAAGAACAUAUGUGUAAGUAACUGUGCACAUCUUGACGGUACCUAAUCAGAAAGCCACGGCUAACUACGUG